Molecule: unclassified non-coding RNA, 313 nt
Filed under: uncultured Aspergillus
Lineage: Eukaryota; Fungi; Ascomycota; Eurotiomycetes; Eurotiales; Aspergillaceae
Description: sequence contains ITS1
Rfam family: 5.8S ribosomal RNA (bases 1-105)
Source: RNAcentral
GAAAUGCGAUAACUAAUGUGAAUUGCAGAAUUCAGUGAAUCAUCGAGUCUUUGAACGCACAUUGCGCCCCCUGGUAUUCCGGGGGGCAUGCCUGUCCGAGCGUCAUUGCUGCCCUCAAGCACGGCUUGUGUGUUGGGCCCCGUCCCCGGUACCCCCGGGGACGGGCCCGAAAGGCAGCGGCGGCACCGCGUCCGGUCCUCGAGCGUAUGGGGCUUUGUCACCCGCUCCGCAGGCCCGGCCGGCGCCAGCCGACCAACCCAACCAUUUUCUACAGGUUGACCUCGGAUCAGGUAGGGAUACCCGCUGAACUUAA